This 248-nucleotide ribosomal RNA is filed under the name uncultured bacterium. RNAcentral's name for it is "partial 16S ribosomal RNA". It matches the Rfam family "Bacterial small subunit ribosomal RNA", at positions 796 to 1041 of the family's 1533-position model. The record is from RNAcentral.
CUAGCCGUAAACGAUGUAGACUUGGCGUUGGUGGGGUAAAAUCCAUCAGUGCCGAAGCAAACGCGAUAAGUCUACCGCCUGGGGACUACGGCCGCAAGGUUAAAACUCAAAGGAAUUGACGGGGCCCCGCACAAGCAGCGGAGCGUGUGGUUUAAUUCGAUGAUACACGAAGAACCUUACCAGGGUUUGACAUGCUGGUGGUAGCGAACUGAAAGGGGAGCGACCCUUCGGGGAGCCAGCACAGGUGC